Small nucleolar RNA from Coffea eugenioides, 107 nucleotides. The record is from RefSeq and is a predicted model, not a curated record. Lineage: Eukaryota; Viridiplantae; Streptophyta; Magnoliopsida; Gentianales; Rubiaceae.
AUUUGAUGCUGAGGGCAUCUAGUGCACAGUUUAUUGAACCUUUUCCAGUAAUCAUAUAAAGGCUCCCUGGGAUACUGUUUGAUACUGCAUAUCUCUUUUCUUAGACU